RNAcentral lists this ribosomal RNA (253 nucleotides) under uncultured bacterium. RNAcentral's name for it is "partial 16S ribosomal RNA". It matches the Rfam family "Bacterial small subunit ribosomal RNA", at positions 524 to 776 of the family's 1533-position model. The record is from RNAcentral.
UACGUAGGGGGCAAGCGUUGUCCGGAAUCAUUGGGCGUAAAGCGCGUGUAGGCGGUUCGGUAAGUCUGCUGUGAAAGUCCAGGGCUCAACCCUGGGAUGCCGGUGGAUACUGUCGGGCUAGAAUGCGGAAGAGGCGAGUGGAAUUCCCGGUGUAGCGGUGAAAUGCGCAGAUAUCGGGAGGAACACCAAUUGCGAAGGCAGCUCGCUGGGACGUUACUGACGCUGAGACGCGAAAGCGUGGGGAGCAAACAGG